AUACCGUGUGGGCAGAGGGUCGCACUGGGAGCCUGGGGCCCCUAACCAACCCUCACCUCCACCCCCACCCCGUGCCAUCCCUGUAGCACCACUACGUGCCCUGCAGCCUCAAUUCUAAGCCGCUGGUCGUCCUGCACCUGGUCCUGGAGAUGGGCUUCUCGCGGGUUCUCUGCUUCACUAACUCCCGAGAGAACUCCCACAGGUGAGGCCCCGGCUGGGCAGGGGCGGCAGAGGCAGCCUCUGGUCCCAGCAUUACUUGGCUGCAGCCUUCUCUCUGCCUAGGCUCUUCCUGCUGGUGCAAGCUUUUGGGGGUGUGGACGUGGCUGAGUUCUCCUCGCGCUACGGGCCUGGCCAGAGGAGAAUGAUCCUGAAGCAGUUUGAACAAGGGAAGAUCCAGCUGCUCAUCAGCACGGAUGCCACCGCCCGAGGCAUCGAUGUGCAGGGUGUGGAGCUGGUGGUGAACUACGACGCCCCCCAGUACCUGAGAACUUACGUGCACCGGGUUGGGAGGACGGCCCGUGCUGGGAAAACUGGACAGGCCUUCACACUGCUCCUGAAAGUGCAGGAGAGGAGAUUCCUCCGGAUGCUGACUGAAGCGGGGGCACCUGAGUUGCAGCGGCACGAGCUCUCCAGCAAGCUGCUGCAGCCGCUGGUUCCUCGGUACGAGGAGGCCCUGUCCCAGCUGGAGGAGUCCGUCAAGGAAGAGCACAAGCAGAGGGCGGCCUAGGCUGGGGCUCAGAGGGCCGGAGGGACUGAGCGCUCACCCCCCUGACCCUCCUUCCAGAGCAGAGCUGACCACUGGAUGCUGCAUGUGAGGAAAGGAAUCCCCCAGUGGACACAGCCUUCCUCCCCAAGCACGUGGUCUCUGCGCCAGGCAGCCCGGGCG
This 886-nucleotide small RNA is filed under the name Pongo abelii (Sumatran orangutan). RNAcentral's name for it is "retained intron". The record is from RNAcentral. Lineage: Eukaryota; Metazoa; Chordata; Mammalia; Primates; Hominidae.